Molecule: non-coding RNA, 29 nt
Filed under: Mus musculus (house mouse)
Lineage: Eukaryota; Metazoa; Chordata; Mammalia; Rodentia; Muridae
Source: RNAcentral
AGACACACAUCUGAUCUUCACUACUCAGG